AACGAACGCUGGCGGCAGGCUUAACACAUGCAAGUCGAACGCCCGUAGCAAUACGGGAGUGGCGGACGGGUGAGUAACGCGUGGGAACGUACCCUGAGGUACGGAAUAACCGAGGGAAACUUCGGCUAAUACCGUAUGAGCCCCGCAAGGGGAAAGAUUUAUCGCCUUGGGAGCGGCCCGCGUCGGAUUAGCUAGUUGGUGGGGUAACGGCCUACCAAGGCUUCGAUCCGUAGCUGGUCUGAGAGAAUGACCAGCCACACUGGGACUGAGACACGGCCCAAACUCCUACGGGAGGCAGCAGUGGGGAAUAUUGGACAAUGGGGGCGAACCCUGAUCCAGCCAUGCCGCGUGAGUGAUGAAGGCCCUAGGGUUGUAAAGCUCUUUUGUGCGGGAAGAUAAUGACGGUACCGCAAGAAUAAGCCCCGG
Molecule: ribosomal RNA, 426 nt
Filed under: uncultured bacterium
Lineage: Bacteria
Description: bacterial SSU rRNA
Rfam family: Bacterial small subunit ribosomal RNA
Source: RNAcentral